GAUAUGCAUACAGACAAACAGACAUGAUAUACAGGAUGAUAUACUAAUUAUUGCAAACCUCCCAGGUGGCCCUCAGUGGAGAGGUGUUUAGUCAGAGCUGGCAGGUGGGCGCCAGCUGUUCGCCAGACCAAGUUUCCCUUGAAGUUCCUCCGAAUGGUCGAGCGCACCAUCUUUGUCGCAAGUUCCUUCUCCAUUACGGUUCCGCGGCCUUCCCCUGCCACGACUACGUAGACGUCCAGCCUUUCUACAAGACCUGCGUUAGCCACCUGUCACAGAUCCAGGAGCGAAGGGGCAGGUCCGGCCCAGCAGCGAGGAAGCCUGGCACGUCCUCCCGAAGAAAGCCUCGGCGAGUCCUUCCACGCAGACCCCCAGGCGCUGCCGAAGGUUCGUCUCGUCUCUCCCGGGUGCCCGAGCAACGCGCCCCUCGCCCGAAGAUCCUCAAUAACUUGCUCUUCCUCUACAACCAAGACUACGCCGAGGCCAACAGCGAGGAGAUGGAGGCGUCGUGCAACGUGUUGGCCGCGUACUCGAGCGUGUGUUCCAAGAGCGACGUGAACCUGUUGCCUCCCCGGCCCUGUGGUGAGUCUCCAACCUCCGGAAGGCGCUCUGGCGAGUCAAACAACCGUGGAUGAAGAGCAAACCAGCGCGCUUCGCCUGCAUGUUGCUUCCUGGUUGACGCGCUAGCGCUAAGUCGCUAUCGCUUAGCUUUUUGCCAUUUUUAUUGCUACUUUUCCUAACAUUAGUAUAAUGCUUCAGUCAGUCAGUCAUGGCUCGCCUGAUGGAUGAACAAUUAAUAAGACAAAUGUUACAAAUGUGUAUGCUAAAGCUGAUGUGCUAACCCCCUAAUGCCAAGGUCCAUGCAGACAACAGUGUAUAUGAAAAAGAUAAUAAAUCUGAAUUGUCAAUGGCUGUAGUAGCAAUAGAUAUACUAGUAAAUAAAAUGAUAACAUAAUA
Molecule: long non-coding RNA, 954 nt
Filed under: Penaeus japonicus
Lineage: Eukaryota; Metazoa; Arthropoda; Malacostraca; Decapoda; Penaeidae
Description: uncharacterized LOC122252236
Source: RNAcentral